Long non-coding RNA from Monodelphis domestica (gray short-tailed opossum), 1251 nucleotides. RefSeq lists it as uncharacterized. NCBI's taxonomy places the organism in Eukaryota, Metazoa, Chordata, Mammalia, Didelphimorphia, Didelphidae. The record is from RefSeq and is a predicted model, not a curated record.
GAAAGGGCGAUCCCCGCGUGACUGCGCGGAGGUACUACUUUUGGCGGAACCAGAGCGGAGGCAUCUCUCGGAGUCGUUGUGGGACCACCCACCUGAUAGGCGGCCACGACUCUGAUUGCUUGGGCUCCUCCUGAGACCUGCAGGUUGCUGACAGUUGACCAAAGGACCAAGUCAUAGGAUCAUUGUUUCAGAGCUGGUAAAAGCCCUUGGACACCAUCCAGUUCGACUGCCUAAUUUUAGUCAUGAAGAAACUGAUGGUUAAGUAAUCUGUCUAAUAUUUAUAUGUGCACUAUUAGGAUUUGAAUACAGCCUCUGUGAAGCAUUUCCUGAUUCUUACAGUUACCGCUACUCUCUACAAACUAAAUAAUUUAAUAGCUUAAAAUAUUAAAUCUUGAAAGACACAUUUUAUUAUUAAAUAUCAAAUAACAAUAAUAAAUGACUUAAAUAAUUAAAUGUUCCAUGCUUUUUUUUCUCUUAAAAAGUUAAAACCAUCAUGAAAAAUCUUAUGUAGGAAAAAUUCCUAAAUCCAUUAACUUAUUUGUGGGAGUGUUAAAGAAAGUUAGGAAAGGAAGGAAAUGAAUAACUCAUUUGCUCAUCUCUGCAGUUUUAUUUCUGCAAGAUGUUUUUGGAAUUGCAUUCAAAUAGUUCCUGGGUAUCUUAGUAAGCUACCAGUAUUUCACAUUUAUUUUACAUUAUUUUGAAUUUUGAAUAUUCAUAGUUACUUUGAGUAGAUUUUAUUUUCAGUAUCGCUGCUCCUGGGUUUUAUUGUUGAUAUACAGGAAUUCUCAUGAUUUAUUUUAUAUCCCAAAAUUUUGCUGAAUUUAUUAGUUGUUUUAAUUAAUUUCAAUUGCCUCUCUAGGGUUCUCUAGAUUGACUGCAGUCUAUCACAUUGUGUGAAAAAAAGGGAUAGUUUUCCUUUCUCUUUACUUCCAUUUAUUAAAUGUCUUUUUCUUGUCAUUACUAUAGCCAGGAUUUCUUAGGCCUUUGUUAAAUAGUAAUAAUGAAAAUGGAUAUCUUUUCUUUACCCCUAACCUUCUGAAACAGCUUUUUUUAUAGGGAAUGUUUGUUUUUGGUUUUAGAAAGACACUACUUACUUUUGUAAGGAAAAGUCCAUUUAUUUCUGUGUUUUCUAGGCUUGGGUUUUUUUUUAAUAGAAACAAGUAUUGGAUAAUGUUUAAAGUCUUUUUGGUAUAUUAAUAAAAUAUAUAAUGAUAUCCUGAAUGUACAAUAAAAUGUAAUUAAUAAAAUUUG